CACGGGUGUAUCUGGAGGCCCGGGUGGAAGGAGAGGAUGGCGUCGCGGAGACUCGCGGGUGGCGUUCCGGCCGGCGUCGAGGCCGGGAGUGGAGGGGGAGCCGGGGUCGGGGUGGGGCUCUGCUGGAGCUGCGGCGGUAGGUGGGAGAGGAGAGAGUUAAAGGGGAGCGGGGGCGGGUCGCGGAGGCGGAGCAGCAGCCGGCGGAGCGGCGCGGCGGCGGCGGCCAUCGGAGACGUGCGAGAAAAGAGGGGAGGGUUUCGUCGUAGGGAAUGGAGGCUGGGUGGGCUGACGCUUGCGUUGUGUUGUUCUGCGUGGUUCCUUGGGCUGGGUCGGGGGACUGGAGCGGGUGGGCUUAUUGUGCGUCCUAGGUUUCGGCCCAGCUUGCUGUCGUUCGAUUUUAAAUUUUCCAAUUUAAAUUCCGUUCAAUUUUUUUCUGGCAACGGUGAAUUUUCUUUUUCUUUUUUGUGGCGAGAGACAAGUGUGACAUUUCAGGUGUAUUUGAAUAACCUUGAUUUUUUAUUGAAGCUAGGUGAGAAAUAUGAGCAAUAUUCGUAUAGUAGCGAAGUCAAUUAGCAUAUUGUGCAUCAUCCAUACAUAGCAUCAUAAUAUAGGGGGGAAAUGCAAAAAUACCACAUGUCACUUUGGUUUUGAUAUUCCAUCUCACAACACAUUUUCUUGAAAAGGACCACCCUAGGGGAGGAUCUAGAGCGCGGACUGGGGUGCUGCAGCCCAGGUCCAGUCCAACUCAUGUAGUGCCUACUACCACUAUGCAAAUUCCAAAGCUAUGUGCGUCGUGUACUUGAUUCUUCAAAUUUCUCUGGUCCUAACCACGCCUAACUUGAUUUUACUUAAAUAUAAAAACACUCUAUUGCUCUAAGCUUUCGAGUUACUCCCUUUAUCCCAACCCAAAUUAUAAGUUGUUUUGAUUUUUAGGUUCAUAGGUGUUUGCAUGCAUCUAAAUAUAGUGUAUGUCUAGAUGCAUGCAAACACCUAUGAACUUAGAAAAGCUAAAAUAGCUUAUAAUUUGAAACGGAGGGAGUAGAAGGCUGGCCCAUGAUCAGAAGGAUGCCUUGAUACCUAAUUGGAUUGGAUGAGAUCAAUCACAUCAGGAGAUAGUAAAGUGGUCAUGAAAAUGCAUGCGUAUUGCCCAUACAUACACGUGCUAGACAAGAAGUUAUGCAUAAUAUGAAGAAUGCAACUAUUGAAAUUCAGUUGCGCGGAGAAUUGUAUGUGGUUUUGAAUUGACCGCAACAAUAUUAUCUAAUACUGUACAUGGAUACAGCUAGUGAUUGUCGAUCCCUUGCACUCAGAUAAUUUCUUAAGGAUAUCCGGUGUUAACAGCAUAGGAAAAUAGUAGGCCAAAGUACAAUGUUCACCCAAAAAAAGAAGAAGAAGACAACACAAAAGCAAAAUAACACGAAAGUCCUUGGCUCCUUGCAGCUCUCUUGCUUCUCCUACAACCAAGAAGAUUUUUCGUCACUGAACAGUUCGAUCUCCAGUCCGGGAUACCGGUGUUCUAUGUGAUCAACUGCUCAUAGAGCCAUAUAUAGUCACACCGCUUUCGGACCAACCAUGAAAAAAAGAAAAGAAAAAGAGGAACGGCAUCAUCUCAGACAACCCUAACACACAACCGCUCUUUUGCAUUUCAAGUACUGCUCAUAGAGUUAUAGUCACAGCUUUCGGACCAACUGCGAAAAAAAGAAAAGAAAAGGAGGAACAGCAUCAUCUCAGAGAAUCCUAAUGCAUUUCAAUGGGCUAGUCUUGAGCGCUGUGACCAUAUAUAUUCUUAACAGCCAAUCGAAAAGUUUUCCUAGUAAACCUAAAACCAUUUUUGCGCAACUUUUUCCAUCGCCUGGCAUUCUUGUUUAUUUAACUCUCUUGAUGCUGGCAUAUGUUGCUUGGUCCCCAAAGGGCGUGUGGAUUUUACUUCUGUAACCUGUUUCUAUGGGCAAGUAAUUGAUUAUUGGGAAUAUAAGUCUCGGUAUGAUUGGAUUCGAUAAUGUUCACUAACAAUGCACAACCAUCUGAGAUCUGCAUAAUCCAAUACAUACAAGGGCACAUAGAGAAAAAACUGAAAGAUUGCAGUAAAAUCUGAAAAUAAUAACACUGUAUGAGAUGACACUUGUCAUGAUUUGUGUGCUAUGAAAACAAAUAAUGAUGGUUAGAAGUAUAAUAAUAUACAAGACAUCAUGCAUUGCAUAUGAUCUGUCUGUGGAGAGAUUUUCGUGUGUGGGUCGAGGGCAUGCAGAAACAGCACAGCAUCGGUUCCUCUACCAUUACCAUUAUUGUAGGAAAUAUGGAUUGUCCCUCAAUUUCUAGCUAUGAUAACUAACUGAGCUAUGACAUAGAUGGCCCACGUACGUAAGCUGCUUUGCGAAGCUCAGUCACUAAUAUUUUUUCUUCAAAUUAAAGCUAUCAACCUUUCGUAGUUGAUUGCCCAACUAGUAGAUGUUAAAAUAAAGACUGGAUUGCUGAUGGGUUAGUUUCACGGCAUUUGGAGUUGAAGCUAGCUAGCAAGAUCUAGAGAAGCCUACUUGAUGGGAGCGAGCCCUCAGCAUUACAAAUGGUCCUGUGGUUGCUCGUCUGCUUGAUUUCACUCGAAGGACGUCACUGUAAAACAUCUGCACAAUCCAGUAUGUAGUUAGGUAAAAGUUAGUGAAAGGGUAAGGACUUUUGAUAGCAUGCAUUCCGAAUACAUGGUUUUUGUAAGAAUAAAGUGGAUGCAGUCUACUAUGAAUUAAGUAAGAUGUGCAGGCAUUGUUGCAUUAUGCUCUUCUGAAACAAAUAGCUGAGAUUCUAUGCUAGCUAGGUUAAAGGAAAACUAAAACAGGUAAUUUCAUAAUUCUAACCAGAAUGACGAAGUACUCCAUCUUUUUACAGACGAGCUAAUUGUUACUUGGUUUUAAAACUAAUUAGAUUACCUAAAUGUCAUAUAUUUUUUAAAAAAGGGAAAGUACCAUGUAGACAGGUACAUGACCACUAACCUCUCCAAUAGCACUAUCUGGUUCAUCGAAUGCUUCCAUGGUUACAAGUCCGAACCCCGAAGACUGUCCGGACAUUGUAUCACAGAUGACUCUUGCAUCCAUGACUAUGCCAUACCUGGCGAAGAAAACUCGCAGCAUGCAUGACACUACACAUCCAUGCUGGCAGGUUGCCCACGUACAUCUUGAGAAGGGGCCCGAAUCUUGAAGUUGAACCACGAAUGAUCUUUAUUGGACAUGGAGCAGUUUGCUUCUCCUUAGGAACCGGAAGCCUUCCUCCGAUAUCCUGCCCAAGUGAAAUUUUGAACUCUGAUCUACUUAUUCAAAACCCUACAUUUUGUAAUCCAGAGAAUUUGCAAAUUAUCAGUCCUAAAUGCCUAAUGUUUUUAUAUUAUUAAAUAUAAAGAAAAAAGAAGUUUCAAGGCUACGAAGUGCUGCGGCCUGUACACGUGGCUCCUCACCGGCACGUUUCUACAACCGACAUUGAGGAUGAAGUAGGCGGAACCACCGCUGACGGCACCACCAAACCACGCGGCAUCGACGGGCAUAGCUGGUCGGGCAACCCAGGGACAGGCGUGGUCCCUCAGGCUCCAGCCGUCCCUCCUCACCCAUCGCACACUGUUCCGGCCAUCGCCGGCUUCCAUCGCGUGUACCCACACCGACAGAGCACCAGCGAGAUCCCCAGAGACGCCGCCGUUGUCCGCCGCUAUGGGUCGGGUGACGACGGGCCAGCAGCUCGCUGCGGGACUCGGAAGAUGUAGAUGCAUAGUGGCUGUUGGGCCGCGCGCUCGUCUGGAGUAAUUUCUGCCGGCGUCGUACGGAGUUCUUGGACCACGCCAUCAUCGUCGCCGCCGGAGCCGGCAGUCACGCGCAGCUUCACGUUGGUGGACUGGUAGAGGUCGACGAGCAUGAUCUCCCCACAAUGAUAUGCGGCGGCGCAGCAGUGGUCGAGGCUGGCGUGCGGCCCAUCUUCGCCUCCGUCCACACUGCGUCACCGGGGCGGAGGACCGCCACCAAACUGCAGGGGGUGUCCUUGAAGUAGAACCCGAUGUCGUACAGAACGACGGCGCCGUCGGCAGGGACGACGCUAGUGGCACGCUCCAUGUCGAUGAGCCUUUCGAUCUCAUCCAGUAGGUGAGGCAGCGUGGCGGUGGCUCUGUUGAAAGUGUUGACGAGGUGCGGAGGAGAUGGAGAGCGACCGGCAUUCCUGCCGCCAGUGAUGAGGAGCAGCCACGCGCCCACGCCGUCGGCGCUCGUGAGCCACUUGAUGGGGCGGUUGGACGUGCCGGGCGCGCACCAGGUGGUCUUGGUGAAGAUGGGCAUUUUAAUCCCGAUUUAAAGUAGGCCCAGUACAAAAGGAGGUACACGGAGCUUUACUCUCGGUUGGUAUUUGCAACCGGAACUAAAAAUCACCUUUUAUCCCGGUUCAAAAAUUAGCCACCCGUGGAGGACCCUUUAGUCCCGGGUGAAAAAAUCAGCUACCCGUGGGGGAUCUUUUUAUCCUGGGUGGUAAGAAUAACCGGGACUAAAGGUCACCCUUUUAAUCUCGGUUGGUGUUACCACCUAGGACUAAAGCUCACGACACCAACCUGGAUAAAAUGGGGUCUUUUAUCCCGGUUGGAAACUCCAACUAGGAUAAAAGGAUCCCUCACGGGUGACUGAAAAAGAACUAAAGCCCUCGGACCCUUUUAUCCCGGUUGGAAACACCAACCGGGAUAAAAGGGUCCCCACGAAUUAGUAUAAAAGGAUUGGAUCUCCUAUAUAGUCAGAUGUGGUGUGUAGGUGGGAUGGCAAGGAAGCUACGCGCGAGGCUUGAGGUUGUUGGUGACUUGUGAUACCCCUGGGAAUUUAUUUAUUUUUCAAAUUUUUUUUGCAAAACCAUUUAUCCCGGUUGUUAUUACUAACUGGGAUAAAAGGGGUCCUGUACCGUGCCUGGUGUGGCAACCCAUUUAGUCCCGGUUGAGGGACCUGGGAUAAAAGAUACCCCUUUUAUCUCGAUUGCUUUGUCCCGGAUGGUUUUUCGAGAGAUUUGCACCCUUCCAACCGGGACUAAUACUCAGUUUUCUACCGGUGCGCGCCAUCCAAGGGUGGGAGUUGCUGCCUGGCGCGAGGAGCCACGGGAGGAAUGGCAGCGGCAGCGUGCCGCUCCAUGCCUUGCAGGCGGCGUGGAAGCAAACGGAGUCCGCGGCGUCGUGGAGGGUGCCGGAGAUUUGCCGGAUCAGGUCCGGCAGGAGGUCAGCCCACGUCCUACGGCGGCAGGAUGCCGCCUCCAUAGCUAGUUGAGUUGCAUGAGAUCUUGAUGGGAGAUUUGCGGAACUGUGGCAACUGACAAUUAGCCAGGAAUUAAUCUGUUCUUCAAAACUUGUUUUUUUUUCCCGAAAGAUUUGCAGAGUGCGGCGAGUAUUAUCUAAUAGGCAGUCUCAUGCAUUAACAUGUAAUUUUGAGAUGACUCAACAGAAAAUCGGUAUGAUUUGCAUUGCAACAACUUGUACAAUGGUUAUUAAGUUAUCUCGUAGUCCUAAAAUUUAGCUUACAAGGCGGUUUUUUCGUGAAACAACGAUCUCUUCUCUCCCUUUACAUCAUCAAAAAUUUUACGUGACACUGCAUAAGGCAGCAUAUAAGACCGUUGACGUGUAGCAAUGUACUUGUUCAAAACUUGUGUGGUGAGGGUAUUUGCAUGGUUUUCCUUGCGGUGUUUCACUGUAUUUUCCAAAUUUGGCUGGGCUGCAAACAAUCUAACGAAGGAGACAACUAAAAAGACAUUCAGACUAAUUUCAUUUUUAGAGGUUGUUUGUGUUAAAUUGUCCUACUUAAUAAAUAGAUAACUAAAAAGAUAUCCAGUCUAAUUUCAUUUUUAGAGGUUGUUUUGUGUCAAAUUGUCCUGCUAAAUUAAUAUUAGAUAUGUGUUGACGGCUGUUAGGAUGUAAAGUUGUGAAACGCAAGCGUACGAAUCAGUUGUAACUCUUCCCUCAUAGUAUUUCCCUAAGAUUUAUCAAUCCGUGGAACCUAUAGCAUAAAUGUUCCCUCAUAAUAUUUCCCCAAGGUUUAUCAAUCCGUGGAACUUAUAGUAUAAGAUCUAUUUCAACUAGUAUUGUUAGUAUUAACUUGGUGUCUAUGAGAGAUUCAGAUCCAAUCUACUAAGCAUAUACAGACAGAUAACAGAUAGAGCAAGGGUAACCAAUCUAGAGCAACCAGGACUAUGUCGUACAUACAUCUAUUGCCUCACUAGAAGGUUUGGACAGUCCUAAAUACAGAGCUGUACACCAAGAUGUAUCUGACAUGGAGACUAUGGUGUAGGACGACGUUGUCUAUGUGGCAAGACAGGAACUAGUCGAGGAUUAGGAAAAGUACUCGUAGCAAUUAGAGUAAGACUCAAUUAGUCGAAUCCAACUAGUAUUUUUGUAAAUCAACCGACCUUUAACCCUUCCCCCGGCAAUAUAAGGUGAGGCAGGGACCCCCUUCAAAGCAAUUCAAUCCAACCAACACACAGGACGUAGGGUAUUACGCAACCUAGUGGCCCGAACCUAUCUAAAUUGUGUGUUUGUGCUCACCUUCGAGUUCCUAAUCUCGGCGAGCCCCACUAACCAAAACACUACCUCGGGCACCACCUCGGUAGGUUGUCGGGUCUAAACACUGACGGCUGGCGCGCCGGGUAGGGGCUCUCGCGGAGAAUCCAGUAGCGAACUCAAUGGCCCAAGUCAUCAUCAAGCUAACCAUCGCAUUCGAAGCAGGCGCGAUGUUCAUCUUUAGCUUCUGGGUUUGCUUCACAGACGACGCUAGAAAUUUCCACCACCACAUUGCGACGACCUCGAAGAAGAAGCGGCAAACCAUGAAGCUCCAGCGUCAAGCUCUACAAGAUCUCGUCGAGAAUUUCGACAAAAUUUCAAUUUCUAACUUAGUCAGGGGCUGGGGGGACGAGUCCGAGUACAAUUCGACUUCUCCCACCAGUCGGAUUGACCCACACGAGCUGGCACAUAAGCUAUCAUGCAAAUUGGACUACAACCCAAGUCGACUCCCAUUCGGACUUCGCAAUGCGGCUACUACUUAUCAGGCUACCUUAUCCAGAUCACAAUCUAAUACGGAUAUGAUCGAGGACCUUGACUACUACGCGGAUCCGGACGAGGAGACCCCUUUAUCAGAUCUGCAGGGGGGCCUGUUGAUCACAUCAACUCCACAAGGCAGAUUCAUCUACUGGCCCAACAUAAAGACACCUACUCUCGGCAAGGACGACGAUUCACGCCUCAUCGCCUACCUCGACACCCUCUUGUACCAGGAGAGAACUCCUCUGUCGCCCAUCUAUGAAGAAGGCGGCACCACGGAGGUCAUCACUUCAAGCUUGGGAAGUUACUCUUUGGAAUGAGAACUCUUCGCUCUCAUUGCUGGACAAGAGGAUAAAGAAGAAGAGCAACGGGACAGAAACCCGCGACACGAGCGUCACCCAGAUGAUGUCUUGCAGGAUGAGCUCACAACCAGCGUUGCUGGAGAACAGAUUAAAGCUCAAAGAACUCAACGGUGAGCAAGAAACAUCGCAAGAGCAGAGUGCCGCCGCCGCCUUGCAGCAAACCUACCAAUCAUGAACCUAGAUAACGCGUUCAAAGCAGUUCAAUUGCGUCACCAUCGUACUCCCCUUGCCACCAUCGCGUCCACUGAUCCCAUUACCCGCUCAAUGCCACAGGACAAGUACACUAGACAAUUGGCUGAACUGGCAGAGCGUGCAUACGAACAACUCGAUUAGCAGAACCCGAUACAUUCAGUUCAAUGCUUCCCUUUCCAGUGUAGUCAACAUGGUAGUAGCCUUAAAGACCCUCCAUCCAGACCAAGUCAAAUUGGAGUCGCCAAGCCAAGUCAAGUUGGAGUAGAGGGUAGUCGGGCAGGACCCUCGGAAAGCCGUGGCCACCGUGGGCCUAACCUAGAAAUUGAAUGCCCAGUAGAAGAUCUUCGCAACAAGAUCAACGCCGACCACGAUGCCCGCACCAUUAUUGCCGGACGGCGCUGAGAGCGCGAGCAAGAAGUUGAACACCCAGGGGAUGAUUCUGACAGGUUCCCUACCUUCUCCAGACAGGUGAGGAGGAUAUUCCUACCUGAAAAAUUUAAACCCCGGGUAUCACCAAAUACGAUGGCAAGUAAGGCCCAGUCCAAUGGCUCUGAUGCUACUCGCUGUCAGUGCAAGUAGCUGGAGGAAACGGCGAUACCAAAGUCAUCUACUUCUCCAUCUGCAUGGAGGCAGCGCCACUCACAUGGCUCGAAUCAUUAGAUAAGAAUUCCAUCAACACGUGGAAGGACCUCAAGGUGGCGUUCACCAAUAACUAUGCAGGGGAAAUGCAGCGUCCUAGCAACAGGAUUGACUUGUCUCAAAUUAAACAACAAGAAGGCAAGACCCUGCGGAGUUACUUACAUCGCUUCUUUAACAAAAAAACCACAAUUGUGGACAUUGCGGAGCACAACAUUAUAGAUUGCUUCCAGAAUGGCCUCUACGACCGCCAGAUGUUCCAGGACUUCAGCAGAAGACGCCCCACUGAUGUCAAAUCUCUUAAGAUCAUGGUACAGGCGUGGGUAGAUGAAGAAGAUAGGGAGAUCGAGAGGUUCGAGUCUAAUCGCAACAAGGGCCAACACAACAAUAAUUAGAACAAUGGCCAACGCAAUGACAAGAACCACAACAAUCGCCCUAACAAUGACAACCGAAAUUACUACUUGGGAGGUCACAACCGCAAGCGAAAGCCAGAUAAUACUGUCGCGGCAAUGUCACAGUCAUCCAAGAAAGGUGGCGGUUCGAAUCAAGACAGGCCCUUGUUCAACGAGCUCCUAAAGAAACAGUGCCUAUGGCACCCAUACCACAAGCACGCUGCGAUAGGUUAUUUCAGUCUACGCAGAGUCAUAAAGGACCUGCCGAAACCAUCUGGCACUAAAGACAAGGGCAAGGCCAAAGAAAAUGAAGAUGAUGGUGACAAUGGUAAAUUCUAGAACCCAUCUAACACCAUCAACGUCAUCUUUGAUGGCACACUGGAUACUACUACUAAGCGGUCCCAGAAGCUCGGCCUUCGAGAGAUUAUGUCCAUUGAACCUGCAACACCAACGUUCCUAAAAUAGUUCGAGGUACUAAUUACCUUCUCCAGGAAGGACCAAUGGACUAGUUUCUCAGGAUCAGGACGGUAUCCCCUUUUCCUGGACCUAGUAGUCGCUGGCUCCAGACUCGCUAAAGUACUCAUCGAUGGUGGUAGCGGUCUCAAUGGUUGUUCGCCAGGGCACUGAGGAAUAUGGGCCUCGACAUCACAGAUAUACUCACUUCAAUGAACUCUCCGUUCUAUGGGAUUGUCCCACGCAACGUGGUUGUACCCCUAGGAUAGGUGGUUUUGCCAGUUACCUUUGGAACCAAAUAGCACUGUCGGACAGAGUACAUUCGAUUCGAGGUAGUAGACUUCAAAACAUCAUACCACACUAUCCUCGGAAGACCAGCAUUGGCCAAAUUCAUGGCCAUCACGCACUACGUGUACUUAUUACUCAAGAUGCCGAGACCCAAGGGAGUAUUCUCCCUGCACAGAGACUUGAAGAGGUCGUAUGACUACGACACGGAAGCUGUGGAGCUAGCAGCAACUACACAAGUACCAAAUUUGAUGAUGCAAGUGUGGCGGAUCCACCUCGGAUUAGCUAAAUCAAGGCACGGUUAGGUCGCCUAACAUGCGACACUCAGCCUUAAUCGAGCUAACACGAGAUGUCGUCGGAUUUCAUCCGAUUUAACCACUUGAACAGGACCGAGUUAGCAAACUCAUACGAAGGUGAGCGGUUCCAGAGAAUACAACAAGUCCACUGAGUUAAUCCAAUUGACCAUUUUAGUUCAACAACAAACAACAUCAGGGUUUUACAAGAUUUAGAAGAAAACAACAGAAGGUAAACAAGCGGAAGCUAAACGCAGGGGGUCGGACAUCCUUGGUGAGGCCAGCCAAGACAUCAGUGAUCCCUCUCCUCGCCGUCCGAGGAGGGAUCCCACUCGACCGUCCAACCCGGAGGGAGCUGGGGUGGCCAAGUGCCAACCGAAGAAGGCUCGGGAGCAGCAACUUCACCUGAAAAAGAAAAGCCACAACAAGGCUGAGCUACUAAGCUCAACAAGACUUAACCGGCAGGGAGUACGCUACUCCACCACUUCUAGACAUGCAAGGCUCUUUGGCUGAGGGGUUGGUUUGCCAAGAAGCACUAGGUAGAUCCUUAUUUUCAAGUUUUAGCUCAGAUUCUAGGUUCAUUAACCGGUCUAAGUGGGCACUUACUCUAAGCAAACAUAGAACCAACCAAGGGUGUAUAUAUCAUCAUCAAGACCAUGUCAUCAUCAGAUUCCUUUAUUACUCAGUGUAGCAUAGCGAUCAAGCAGUCUCAAACUGUGAGAGGCAGACGAAUCGAUUCGAGUUCUUUAACCAUGCAUGGUGAACCUAACCUCACGACAUCCACGCACCACCGAGGGUGGCUUCCUGUGUCGGCCUUCCCCAUCAAUCCCUAAACCCGUGUCGGGCCCAUUUCCUUUGGUGCAAUGUUCCACAGACCCGACCUCUGCCGUUCUGUGACCACACUUGCCACCACGUGCGGCCGCAGGGGAACUCCGUUCCAAGGACAAUGGGGCGACCGCUCACGUCUAGGUUCAAUCCGGUACUCGGCUUCCUCAUCCCAUAAUAAGUAUGAGGUUAGUACUUUCAAACACUUGAUCAUGAACACCACCACUGUCGGGCCUUAACAAGUUCCAUAGACAGACGGGGUGAUCAGCCGAUCACCAAAGAGUUAACCAAAACCCUGCCCCGUCCAUCGUCCUUAUAGUUGUAACAGAAAGGAAACAACCAACUCCUAUAAACUCGCGAGUGACAGGAGAUCACUCAGCUUUUACCGCUCCCUAUUAAGCAUAGCAACUACUCGGACCCAACAGACUAGUGUUCAGCUCAAGGGAACUAAGUCAUGCAUCUACGGUUUCAAGCAACUCCUAUACGUAAAUGCACAAACAAGGAACAGAAGGCAUGCGCAAGUUAUGGAAACUGGGAUUCAUGCUCCGGGGCUUGCCUUCGAACAAGGAGGAAGGGAAGGGGUCUUCUGCGGGGGCAGCUUUGGCUUCUGGAAGCGGGAGCUCGGUUGCAGCUUCGUCCUCUGGCGCCGGGUGCAACUCGUAGAAGCCGUCGGCGAGACGCAGCUCUACACGAAUGCAAUGCAAGAGUUAGCAUUUAGACGGUUAUUUCAACAGCAACACUUGCAAGUUCUAGCUCAGAAACUUUGUAGCAUAGCUACGGAAAGAGUGGGGAAGUUCGCUUGGGUUGGAGAAGAACAAGGCAAAGGGUCGGAUGGGAAGAAGCUUAUGAUCUGACCCUUAGACUAGAGGAAUAGAUGUGUUGGGGGUCCUUAGACUUAACGCCGAGAAGUCCCCGUUAAGGAAAAAGAUACAGCCGAGCCCUCGGGCGAGGCGGAGAAAGGGUCGACAAAACAGAAAGGGUCGGGCGAGACGGAACAGGGGUCGGGCGGAUAGAAGGGGUCGGACGAGGCGGAAAAGGGGUCGGCAGCUUACCUUCGUCUUACAGGUGAAGCUUGAGGGUCGAGAAGGGGCAGACUCGGUCGGAGGAACUGGAGCACUAAGGCUUGGGCAGGCGAUGAUGUCCGGCGGUGCUCCGGCGACAGCGGGGCUUUUUGUGGACUAGAAGCAAGCUCUUGCGCAGCGCGGAGGAGCAAGCGACUGGGCGGAUAGGAAGGGCGGGCGUGGAGCGGAGAGGAGAGUUCCUCAGGGACUUAGGGUGUAGCGCUUGAGCACGAAACAGAGAGCAAGGUGGAAGGGCAGCGAUGGCGAAGGGGACUCCGGCGGAGCUCUGGCAUUCCCUUUUAUAGCUGCGUGGAAGAGAGAAGGUUGGAGCGGCGCGAAGACCGGGAAGAAGCAAUCGAGUGCUCUACCGGGGCGGAGAUUGAGCAGCGGCACGGCGGAGCAGGACUUCGGGGAUGGCACCGGCGGUCAUUGGGCACCAACGACAGGGCGGCGCAGGCGCGGUUUUGCUGGUGGUUGAAAUUUGGCGGAGGUGGGCGUCGCCGUGCGGUGGAUCUGAUGGAAGUGACCAGGGGAACGGCGCUAGAAGCGAGGGCGCACAGGUGAGAAGACAGGCAGGCUGCGGUUGCGCGGGCGUGCGUGAAGCAACAGACUGUCGGGGGCGCGGCUCUGACAGGGCGGAAAACGGAGCUGUCGCGGCCGGGGUCUGGGUUUGCGGAGGAGGAAUCGUCGCGUAGCGUAUUUGGGGUGGCGCGACGGUGGAGAUGCGGCAGAAAAGAUGGGAGGCAUCGGGCUCUACAGCCGGGGGUCUGGUGGGGUGAUGAUGGGCGCGAGCCGUGAGGUACUGCAGAAAGGGUAGCAGAGGAGCUUCCGCUGCGAUUUGGGAAAGGGGCGCGAGAAUCCAUCCGGUCAUGGCCGGCGACGAAGCGGAGCGGCGGGUGUCGGAGAAGUUGAGCCACGCAGCGGAGAAGCUCUGAGGCGGGCCUGCUAAUCGAGUGCGUCUGUCGCGGGAGAUCUGGGAGAAAUAUUUUGUGGGUCCACUGGUCAGUCUUGGUUGGUCCACUGCUCAGAUGGAGAGAGAGGCGUUGCGGGAAGACUUAGAAGGAUCCGACGGUUGAGUUUGGGGUCGGCAGGGUCGGGACGGGAAACCAGCGGAGAGGGGUCGGAUCUCAAGGGUCGGGACCGGACUGGGGGUUGAGCACUUAAACUCGGGGAAACUAAGAUAGGGGAUUAGGGACCUGGAUUAAGAUUAACUCAAGAGAUUUUGGGGGUCGGUCGUCACAGCAAGUCUUCGCCGCAUCCAAGAAAUUGUCUCCGUCAAAACUCGAGAUCUCAAAAAAGAAGUCAGGGGCAACCAAGGUCAAGCCAUCAAGUGAAGUAGAUGUCAAAGCCAUUGACCUUGAGACUGGUGACAGCUCCAAGACAGCUCUAAUUGGCGUAGGGCUGGAUCCUAAAUAGGAAAGCGCGCUCGUCAGCUUGCUCUGGGCCAACCGAGACAUCUUCGUAUGGAAACCAGCGGAUAUGCUGGGGUUGCCCAGGGACUUGAUUGAGCAUUUGCUAAACGUGGAUCUAAGAGCUACACCAAAAAGGCAAUGCCUACGAUGAUUUGCCUGAGAUAGAAGGAAAGCCAUCAAAAAAGAGCUAGCCAAACUACUCACGGCAGGCUUCACAAAAGAGGUCUAUUAUCCAGAGUGGUUUGCCAAUCAUAUCCUAGUAUGAAAGAAAAACAACAACAAGUGGAGAAUGUGUGUCGGUUACACAGACCUCAACAAGCACUGUCCAAAGGAUCCCUUUGGGCUCUCUAGGAUUGAUCAAGUAAUCUACUCCACAGCUAGGUGUGCCCUACUCUGCUUCCUCGAUUGCUACUCGGGUAUCACCAGAUAGCUCUCAAGGAAGAUGACUAAAUCAAAACUGCGUGCAUCACCCAUAGAUGUUUUCUGCUACACUACAAUGUUUUUCGGACUGAAGAACGCAGGCGCUACUUAUCAACGGGCAAUCCAUGAGUGCAUCAAGAAGCAGUUACACUGCAACGUAGAGGUGUACGUGGAUGAUGUGGUCGUAAAGACCAGAAUUCUUGAUGACCUGAUUGCAUAUUUGGAAGAAACCUUCACAAGCUUGCAAGAAUUUCGUUGGAAACUAAACCCAACAAAGUGCAUUUUUGGCAUACCCUCCGGAAAACUACUUAGGUUCAUCAUUAGUCACCGAGGAAUUGAAGCUAACCCUGAAAAGUUCUCCACCAUUACCAACAUGCAUGCCCCAUCGUGCAUCAAGGACAUCCAGAAGAUAACUGGAUGCAUGGCGGCACUCAACAGAUUCAUCUCAAGCUUUGGAGAAUGGGGCCUACCCUUUUUCAAACUACUCAAGCAGCGAGAUAAAUUCUAGUGGACCGAGAAGACAGAUCAAGCCUUGCAACAGUUAAAGGACUUUCUAUCAAAACCACCGGUCCUCACGGCACCAAACCCCAACAAAGACUUUCUGCUUUACAUUGCCACGACUAGUAACUUCGUCUAUAGGUGAUCGUGGUCGAAAGACUAGAACUAGGCCAUGUAUACAAAGUAUAAAGGCUCGUCUACUUCGUCAGCGAGGUGUUAUCAGAUUCCAAGACUAGAUACCUACUAGUUUAGAAACUUGUUUACGCAAUACUACUCACCUUGUGGAAGCUACAACACUACUUCCAGGAGCACAACAUCUCCAUCAUCACCGAUUUUCCCCUACAAGAAAUUCUUCACAAUCGAGAUGCAAUGGGUAGAAUAUCUAAAUGGGAGGUAGAACUCGGAGCAUUGUCCCUGGAGUUCAAGUCGAGGACUGCAAUCAAAUCCCAAACCCUAGUCGAUUUCAUGGCAGAGUGGUGGGAGAAUCAACUACUAACGCCAGGAGAGCGUCCAAAGUAUUGGGUCAUGUAUUUCGACGGAUCACUCAAACUCGAGAGCGCCGACGCAAGAGUACUCUUGAUAUCUCCCAAAGGCGAAUAACUCAAAUACAUCCUGUAAAUCUUUUAGGAAGUAUCCAACAACGAAGCUGAAUAUGAAGCGCUUCUACACGGGCUCCGCCUGGCAGUGUCGCUAGGAAUCAAGCGAUUGUUGGUAUACGGUGACUCACUUGUAGUAAUCAAUCAAGUCAAUGACGAGUGGGACCGCCACAAGGAGAACAUGGUUGCGUACUGCCUAGAAGUAUGCAAGCUAGAGAACAAAUUAUCCGGUCUAGAGUUCCACCACGUAGCUCACGGCAACAACGUUGCCGUGGGCAUCCUAUCCAAGCUUGGAUCUACUCAUGCUCAAGUUCCAGCUGGGGUUUUCGUCCUUGAGCUGCACAAGCCAUCCAUAACAGAGCCGACACCAUCAACAACCACCGAUCGAGGUCAUGUCGUACCAGACCUGGAGGUUAUGAUGACCGACAUAGACUGGAGAGAUUCUUUCAUCGACUAUAUCAAAGAGCACAAGUUGCCUCCAGAUAAAAUAGAGGUAGAGCAAGUCUAAUGACGUGGCAAGAACCACGUUCUAGUCGGAGACAAGCUUCAUAGAAGAGGCGCAUCAUCAGGAGUACUCAUGAAGUGCGUCUCAUGACAAGACGACAAGGACAAACUGGAGGAAAUUCUCAAAGGCAUUUGCGGCAACCACGCAUCCUCACGAACAAUCGUGGGUAAAGCUUUCAGAGCAGGGUUCUAUCGGCCUACAGCUCUCGCUGACGCUGAGGAACUAGUCCGCUGAUGCCAAGGAUGCCAAUUCUUCACCAAACAACAGCACGUCCUUGCCUACAAGUUGGUCACCAUACCACCCUCUUGGCCCUUCACUUGCUGGGGGCUUGACAUGAUUGGCCCACUUUCCACGGUGCCGAGAGGAUUCAAUAGAGUACUGGUGGCGAUUGACAAGUUUACCAAGUGGAUUGAGGUGAAGCCAGUAACUUGCCCCAAGGCAGACAGAGUACUCGACUUCCUCAGUGAAAUCGUCCAUCUCUACGGCUUCCCCAAUCGCAUUAUCACAGAUCUGGGCUCCAACUUCAACAAUCACGAGUUCUGGAAAUAUUGUAAGAACCGCGGGAUCAACAUCCAAUACGUCUCCGUCGCUCAUCCGCGGGCCAAUGGAUAGGUUGAGCACGCUAAUGGGAUGGUACUAGAAGCUCUCAAGAAAAGAUUGCAUGAUAUUGAAAACACGAAAGGGGACAAGUGGCUAAAAGAACUUCCCAAUAUCCUCUAUGGGCUCUGUACCCAGCUGUGCAGGCCUACAGAGCAAUCGCCCUACUUCGCAGUCUACGGAUCCGAAGCUUUCCUCCUUACCGAUGUCAUAUGGAAAUCUCCAGUAGUCGAGCAGUACGAGGAGGGCGCAGCAAAAGAAACAAGAUAUCUAGAAUUAGACAGCCUCGAAGAAGCCCGCUGUGCAGCACUCAUCCAGUCUACAACAUACCUUGAAGGAUUACGCCACUAUCAUGAUCGCAACAUCAAAGAACGUUCGUUCAAUAUAGGCGAUAUGGUCCUCAAGCGCAUCCAAGACACCAAGGGGUUGCACAAGCUAAACUCACCAUGGGAGGGUCUGUUCAUCGUCUCCAAGAUCACUGCACCUAGGUCAUAUAGGCUCCAACACCUCUCUGUUGAAGGCGUCAACAACUCGUGGAACAUCGAGCAACUCUGUCGAUUUUAUCCUUAAUUUACGCAUUCAUGUACACCGGCCAUCAGCCUUAGCUGUAGAUUUUCAAGUCAAUAAAGUAGUUUUAUUUUUUAUCAUAAUACGACUACUUAUUUCUGCCUAUUUACAGCUUGCAGAAGCAAGUUUGUCAAGCUACUCGGCUCCAUUGGCAAAAUUGCCUACAUGCGGCUUGUAAUAACAAGUCCGCAAAAAGUUUCAAAAGAGUUAUUCAACUCACUGGACGAAAUUGUCGAAACACGGCUUGCAAAGACAAUUUCGCAGCAAAAUUCAUGAGUUAUUCAACUCAUUGGACAAAUCUGUCCCUUAGCAGCUUUCAGAAAAGGAGUCAUCAACACUUCGGGAGUUAUCUAAACUACCUGAGAUAAUAUCCACUAGAUACGUCUAUCUAGUCGCGACUUGUAAUAACAAGCUCACAAUUCCAGGUUUUCAAGAGCACAACAUCAAUAUAACCCAAAGAGGUUGUAAAGAUAUGCUCUAGUCGAAGAAAUAUUGAAGAGACUACUCGCCCAAGAGGUCUAACUACCCAUGUACCUUGAAUACUUGUACUCCGCAGAAAGGAGUUGCAUCCUAAAGUACUCUACACCAUGUAUCUGAAGAGGCUCAUCAAAGAAGCCUUGUGUGCAGACACUUACAUCUACCAUACGAGCAAUUAUCAGGGUAGAUCAUAAAAUGCACUAAAGCAACAAGUUGAAAGCAACAAAAAUUGCAACAAGGCUAUUAUUUACAUUUUAGAGCAUUCAUAUCAUGUUUACAUUACAAGAACUAUUGUUUGCUUUUUGUACAAGACUACUCAAUGUCUAAAUGAUUUGCUACUUCUUUCGCGAUAGGGUCCAUCUCUUGCAGGUACUGCUGAAAGAGCUCAUCCGAGCAGUCCUCCGCUAUUCUUUUCGCAACAGGAGCUAGCUUAGCCUGCGGGUAGAAGGACUUCACGAAGCUCAGCAGUUGCUUGGAGACAGACUUCGCUAUCUUCUGGACGUAGCCGGUGAACUUUGCUGGCACAUCCUUGACUAUUUUAGACAGAGGGUGGGGCUCUACACCGUCAACAAGGGGCUCCACCAUGUUCGCAAUCGUCCGAGCUACUUCAGAAAUUUCCUUCAAAGCAAGUCUUGAAGCUUCAAGGUCGGCUUCGCGCUCCUGGAGGAUCUUCAUGGCAUUGACCAAGUCGACCUCGCCAUCUUCGCUCAUCUUCUUUUCCUUCUUCAGGUGAUGAUCCAGGUUCUCAUAUAAAGCAGUCAACUUAUCAUGUUGAUCGGUCACUCGGUAGUACAAGUUCUUCCAAUCGGUGACUUAUCCGUGGAGAUCAUCCCUUGACUUCUCAAGCGCUGCACAAAUAAUCCACAAAGAGGAUUAGCAUUGUAAGUAAAAUCGGUACUCGAAGACCAAGGAAGAAGAUCAAUUACCUUUCAUCUGCUGGUUUAGAGACAUGUUGCAACCUUUGAUACGGUCCUUCUCCUCAUCCAACUGCUGGAUACGAUUCCGGUACUCGGCGGCUUGUCCGUCGUACUUCAUCAACAAUCGGGAGGAGUACUCCCUCUCCUUAGCAAGCUCCCUAGCAAGGGCCUUAACACGGAGUACUAAGUCCCCAUAGCCUUAAAGCAUCUGAUAUUUUCACCGGGAGCAUCUGAUAACAUCCUGCACCACAAAGUAAGUACUCGUAUUAGUAUAUGACUACUAAGUACAAAUCGUGUAUCAACGCAAGGAGUCAGAUCAAGCAUACCUCUGUAUAUGCAACAAUGCGGCGGUGCAUCUCCAUCAUUCCAGCUACCAUAUCCAUGUGUAGUAGUGGGUCAUCGAUCAAUUGGAUGUCCUCAAGAUUUAGUUCUCCAACUGCCAGUGGGUCCCCGUGUGCUUUAGAAUCCGUUGCACUAAGUGGAACAUGGCACGACUUGUCGGCGGACCCGGUUCGGAAGAUGGGACGACCACCACGACUUCCAGCACUUCCGCUGCUUCAGCUGCUACCUCUGGCUUGGAGGCUACAAGAGUAGCCAUGGUGCCAGAGGUAGUCGCCUCCACAACUUCAGGCACUCAUUGCUUGGGACCUGGCACUACUACGUCAGUCAACAAAGAUAUCACAUCCUGCAUCAAUGCUGCUACGAUAGAUAUGGCACCUGAGUUGCUUAUCAGCGCAGGAUGUUCUUCUGGCUACGGACUUGCUGGAGCCGGAGAAACGUCUUGGAUCAAGUGGCUACUGCCAUCAGUCGCCGGCUUCAGGCUAGGACCUCCAAGUUCCAUGUCAGAGGAUUUCCUGCAUGUGGAAAAGUUUCAGGGAAAUAAAACAAGUCGUUCGUGAGCUACAAUUACUACUUGUAAGGAGUAGCAAGGCAUACCUUGAAGAUCUCCUCAGUUUCAGGGAAGGUUCCCCUGUCAGGCGAAGGGGCUUAACUGUCAAAGAUGACUUCUUUGGCGCGGCUUGCAGGAUUGCAGCACGAUCGUCACCUGCCUUUGUUACCGCCUCUAUUCUUUGAGUACCUCUCGUGCCGACAACAUCCUCCUCAAAGAUAGAAGGCUCUGGAUCGUCUUCGGUUUCGAUCACCUCCUCAAUGACCGGCAGUUUGUGUUGAGCAACCUCAGCAGCCACCUUCUCCGCCUCGGUCACCUCUUCGAGUACAUGUGCACCACCAAUACCAUUUUGAGUAGACAUGGUGGUAUUGGAAUUACUUACUGGGAGUACUCGAUCCUCAGGAUCUUGUCCUUCUUUAUAGGUUAUUACCGUGGGGGGUAUGUCUUCCUCAAUAACAGGCUUCCUCACAGAUCGCUUUGUAGUGAUGGACCGUUUCUUCCUCGGUGGCGGAGCAAAUGCAGCUUCAAGAUCAUCUUUAGCUGCGCGCUUCGACGAUCCAGAGGACGACCCAGCCUUAUUAGAUGGCCAUGCCUUGAUUUCAAAGUCCCCCGUAGCUUCGAAAUCAGAGCUGCUGGAGGCCUCGACUACUUCUUCUUCCUCCUCCUCCCCAGCUUCACUCUCCACGCUCGCUACUGUGUGGACGCGAGGAGCAGCUUUGCAAAUGUCUUCUGAUUCGGGAGGACGAGGAGCAGAGCAGUACAAAUGCACAUCUUCCUACACAGAUAGACAAGAUUAUUACACUCACACAUUAACAAAAUGAGUACUCGGGGGCUGCGGCCAUAGGUACUUACAGCUUUUGGUGGGUUGGCAGUGCAGAACUCUCGCACAAUGGUGGGGAUUUCACCCACGUUCUUGAACAUACGCCUCAACCGUGCCAUGACCUCGUCUGUGCUAAGUUCCUCGGGAGUCAUUCUUGAUGGGUCAUUAACUCCCGAGUACUCGUAAUCCCAGCGGCAUCGCAGUUGUAGGGGCUGAGUCCGCCGCUUCAUGAAGCUCAAUGCUACCCUGACUUCAGUCAGUUCUUCUUGCUUCAGCUUGGAUAUCCUGUUCAGGAGUUCGGGUAGUUGCAGACAGUCUUCAUGGUUUGGCUCAUCUAACCAUCUAUUGUUCUAGGUGGGACGAUGCCCUAUUAGCUUGGGGAGCUUGGGGUCAUGGUUGCCAAUGUAGUACCACUUCUCGUUCUAUCCAGAAUGUGAAUCAAUCAACUCAUAAUCUAGGUAGAGACUCUUGAGCUUCUCUCUCAUUUUAAUUCCGACCCCUCUAACUACUUCGGUGUGCUCCCUCUUUGGCUGCAGCUUCACUCGGAAGAACUUCCAAAAUAGUUGGAAGUAGGGAUAGAUCCCCAAGAAAGUUUCGCACAAAUGCACAAAAAUCGAGGCAUGCAGAAUGCCAUUGGGAUUCAAAUGUACAAGCUCCAAUUUGUAAUAAUCCAAGAGACCCAGGAAGAAAUCUAACGCCGGCAAAGCAAGACCACGCUCAAUGAAAUGCGCAAAGAUUACCGUUUCCUUCGGGUACUCCUUCAGUGGCAAUGAGUUGUCUAAAGCGGGUCUCCAGUUGAUGACAUCUUUCUCUUGGAGAAGGUUGGUGGCCACAAGUAUCUUGAUCUCCUCUUCCUUUAGAGCGGAUCUCUUCCACGCACAUGCAGGAGUCAGUGGUGCAGUUUGGUCCGUCUUUCCAUACUUGGGCACCGGCAGUUGCGGCUCUUUCUUCUUGUCCGCCUUCUUCUUCUUGCCCUCAACCACCUUGGAUGUAGCUGCUUUCUUCCCCAUUCUCGAUGUCACGAGUGCCUUCUGUCGCAUGCGCUCGAGGGCUGAGUGGGGUGGGGGGGAGGGGGCGCUAGCGCUCGAAGAUUGGGCAGCAGCGCUAGAGCUACAGUGUAGAAGUUGAACAGACAUAUGGCCAAGGUAAAACGGAAGGGAUAAUUUCCUCCAUUAUUUAUAACCGUGGCGCAAUAACAGCAGCGGGAAUAAAGGAAUAUUCAAGUUUAAUGGAUCUGAGGUUUUCACACCUGAUUGGCAGUUAUCUCUAUUUUGAGAAGAGAUAAGGUUUCCGUUGACACAUGGUCACGUUGACCAAAGGUUGACCCUUAUUGUAACACCUGAUGUUUUAAGUCAUCAAAGGUAACUAAGAAAAGCCAAAAGCAGAAUUAUGGAGAAAGGGAGAAGAAAUUGGCUAAAAAUCAAAUUCAAGUCAAAUUUGACCAAAAUUUGAAUUUUGAAUUCGAAAUUCAGAAAAAUUUGGCAAAAAUAUGGAAUGAAAGGAUGAGAGUGUUUAGAACUUGGAGAUCAAGAUUGGGGACAAAAAUCUGGACCUAAAUAUCUCAAGAAAGCCAAAGAAAGAAAUUAAAACAGAAGGGUACUGUUCAUCGUCCGAAAAUAGGAUUUCAGAAAAAAAAACAGCAUCAGUGUCCAUUUUGGAGAUUGUUUUCUAUCAAAUUUUCCAAAUAAGUGUACCAAGGCAACUAUACAGUGAUGAAGUAUGAACUUUGGACAAAUAGAUUCGGGUGUUGUUGAUCAGGAACAGUAAAGGGAACAAAUUCAAAAUUGAGCUCAAAGUCAGCACUUUGUCACGGUAGACUGAAUUGCUCAAAUUGUCUAAGUCUGAAACAGCAAUAAGUAGCUGAGUUUGGAGCCGAUUUCAGAAGAAUGUAAAGCAAAAGGUGUAAGUGUUUAUGAGCAAAAUGGAAUCCUUGAAAGUUGUAGAACACAAAUGGGAAUUAAUUGGACUAAGAGGAGUGAGCUUGGGCCACUGAAAUUAAAUCAACAAAAGUGCAAAUGACCAUGUUGAAGGUCUGACGAACUGAAUGAGGUGUCAAAGGAGAUUCAGUUAACUGAGGGAAAGAAUUCGAAAAUUUCCAACAAUUGGAUGUUUAUCUCGGGUAGGAGUCUAAAUAUGAAUUAAAGAGCUCAAGUUUAUCAACAACUUUGUUUAAAGGACCGUGGAGCCGUCGGAUUCAAAAUCGACCGUGGCCGAGCUUUGAACUUCGGGUGUCAGGGAAACAAGGAGGGGGAGGGCGACAGAAGCAGGGCACAACAUGUCGUCGCCGGCGUCUUCGGUCGACCGCCAGCGCAGCAGCUACGGCACCUCCUCACCACGCAAGUCCCUAGCUAGGCCACGGUGUCGACCAUGCGCACGGUAAAACUUCAUAUAUCUACCGCUCCUGCCGCCACUUUCACCGUCGGUUCUUUUUACCGCCGCCGUCCUCUCUGUCAAGUCGCCGCCGCCGGGUGAAAUUCCUCCACCACACCGCAGCUCUCAUUGAUUCCUUCCGUCCACACCUCCACUCACACCCCACCAGCAACCCUAGCAACUUGUUGCCCAGCCUCUCCGCCGGCGUGCCCUACAUCACCGUCGUUUCUGUCCGCCACCGCCGCACCUCCUGCUCACGCUGAGCACCUCCUUGCCAUCGUUUUCUUUCCGUGUGGACAGUCGUAGGUGAGUCCUUAGGGUACUAGGAAGCCGUAGAGGUAGUCGUCGGGGUAGGCUGCGCCGUCGUUGUGUUUAGUCGCGACCGACCGUUAGCGCCGCCGCCCGCCGCCGUGGAGGGAAUGGCUUCGGCCACCUUCCGGGGAGCUACCGUCGCGCACGGGUGCGCUAGGGCAUGGGGAUGCUUCCCCGGCCUAGCCCCGUCGCCGGUAGGGCGCCGGCCGGCAAGCCGCGCCGCCCCCUGUCGCGCUCGGAUUUUGGCACGAGAAGGAAGAAGGGUCUGGCAUCGGCGGGCUCGCGCGUCAAAGGGAAAAGGGGAGAAGGGAGGCCGGCCGGGCAAGGGCGUCGGAUGGGCCGCAGUCUUGGAGGACCGGGUGCCAGUGCGGGCGGCUGUUGGAGGAAAGAGGCCAGAGGCCCGUGAGAUCCAGUGAGCCGGUGGGCCGGUGAGGCAGGCCGGUGUCACGAAAAGAAAAGGACAAGGAAAGGCGGGCCAUUGGGCUGGUAUCGGAUUGAGAAAGGAAAAGGAAAAAGAAAACGGCCCAGUGAGCCCAGCAGAGGAGGAAGUAGGCCGGCGGGUUGGAUGAAUAGGAGAAGGAGGUGGGUCCGAGCCGUGGGCCCAGCGUAAGAGAGAGGGGGUAGAGUGAGGGCGCGUGAGAAAAGUAGGCCGGGGCUUUUUCGGGAAAACUUAGAUUUCCUUUUGUAGAAUAAUAGAUUAAAUCUGGUUAUCACUAUUUAAAUCACAGAAAUUUCUAGGGGUGUCCAAAAUUAGUGAAACCAAUUUUGUUAGGCUUAUUUUAUUUUCCUUUAUGCAUUAAAAUUUUUAUACCCUAGGAAAAAUAAUAAAAAAAUUUGGGUAUUUAUUUAAUGCCUUUCUUUUAAGGUAUUUAAAUAAAUACUUAAUCUUUAUUAAAUACAUAAAAUAUGGAAUCACAUUUUCAUAAUAACACAUUAUUGUUAACUCAUAGGAAAUUAAGUUUCAAGACUAGAAAAUAAUUAUAACAUUUUCUAAAAAUAAAAGGAAGAGCCUUAGAUAAGGUUAAUAAAGGAAAUAAAAAUGGUGGGUUAAUCUUUUCGGGUUUUUGUGUGUUGGCUUGCAACUUUAUCAUGAUAAAUUGUAUAGUCCAUUGUUGGCUUGCAACUUUAUCAUGAAGGAAAGUUGUAUAGUCUUGUAUUCAAAAAGUUGCAUUACUAACCCCUGCAUAUGCUUUAUCAUAGACACCGAAGCACCGGAAGAGGAUUUCUCGGAAUUUUCAGAAGGAUCUCCAGAGUUCGAAGAGAUCAUUGAGUUGGUCCCCUGUGAGGCCAAUCCUUCAGACAGUGCUAACUUUUUUAUAGAACAAGGCUAGCCCCGGUGCAUUACACCUAUUUAUUUUGGAGUCAUAAUUUCAUGUGUCCAAUUAUCGAUUAUUUGCUAUAUGAAUGCACUAAGUCUAGGAGUUGAUUGAAACUCAUUCUUGUGCAUUAUCAUACCUUGUUUUAAGGACAUCUUUGCCACUUGUUCAAACAUUUAGUAAGUAACCCAAGUCUAGAAAUGCUUAGUUGCCUAAGUAAUUGGUUUACCGAACCUUAAGGUGAAAUGUGGGGUCAUACAUGCUAUUUAUGGAAAGAUAGCUUGAAAUUAAGAAGCGGACAGAAGCUAAGGAUGUAGUUCUGUCUGCUAGAUUAAUUUGGUUAAGGCCCGAUCGUUGUCUUAACCUCUGAUCAAGUGAAUGACAUCUGAUCACUUACUGGGUAUGGGACCAGUAAAGCCCAAUAGGUUAGUAAACUCUCUGAUCGGGAAUACUUCGUACCCGUGCUUGACGUGCUGGAGAUUGGCAGGGGCGUAGCCUGAAAACUCACAUGGUGAUCAGGCCAGACAUGGGGUCCCAUGUGGGGGUGCGUCCCUGAGUCCGGGUAGUCUUAUUCCCAAUCAUUGGAUUUGCUAAUCGAAAGGUCGUUACGUACGACCUGGACAGUCGUAUAUAACUGGUGAUCAGGGUACUCUCUUGCAUGAUGUAAUUUGAUCCGGAUCGCCGCAAUUCUCGGUUAUGAAUGCACUUGAUCACUGUUGAGCAUCGUAGUUCGAAUUCAUGAAUGCUAUAUCUUUCCACUAAUAUUUUGGUGUAUGACUUAAUACCUUGUUGUUUGCAAAUAAUCUUUUUAUCAUCAUUUAGAAUGGUUAGGUAAUAACUUAAUCGAAAUAAAAGAUAAAGCUAAGGUCUCACUUUUAGUAAGCUCUUUGGGCAAAAGUGUGUCAGCCAGUACACCGAAAAAGCUAUCAUAUAGUUCCAAGAAAAGCUAUUAUAUUAGUUAGUCGGGUAAGCCUUGCUGAGUACCCCGUACUCAGGGUUAUCCCUUGUGGCUGUUUUCAGAAGCACCGCCGGAAUCCACUGAGAAGGAAGCCCCGAAAAACUAGGGUAUUGUUAUGAGUCUCACAAUACCCUUAGAAAAAUCUUGAAUGCUCAUCUCCCACCUGAACCCGUUUAUGUUUAAUUCCUAGAACCUCUGUCUAACCUGCACUGUUAAGUUUAUUUCAAACUACGUCUUGUAAUAACUCGCACCUUAUGUAUGUAUGUAAAAAUGUAAUAUUUGUUGAUGCUUUCCCAUCGCGGAAACAAUCCUGGUGUAUGGCUAUGAGACGUGACGUGGAUCAUUCGAGGAGUCCUAGGAAUACUCGACGGACGACCGGAUUUAUAUUGUUUUAAGUGCGUUUCGGAUAAUUGCUGUAUCGGCAGCGAUUAGGCGCAUUUAAACCAGUUUAAGUUGGACGGUUCCGCCACACUUAUACCUACCAAACUAGUCGGUAAAAGGCUCGGGGGUUGUAUGCCACGUGUAAUCGGCAAAAAAGUUUUUUCUCUGGAUUUUAAGGGGAAAAUGAUACAAAUUAUAGAUUGAUCCUCAGCCUGAUUCUUCGAUUCAACCUAAGGCUUAGGGGCUACUCCAUAUGGAGUGCGACUUUCAUCGCACUUUCAUAUAAAAUUAGAGAUGAAGGAUUCAAUAUUAAGUUAUAUGAGGCUUGAGCACAUUCUUGCCACAUGACAGUGCUCGCGUACGUUUGAAGACUCAACCCGACGAAGUGCUCGAAGGACACCAAAACUAGUCGAUGAAGCCUACAAAAGUACUCGGAACUGCUGCAUUUGACUAAAAAGUACUCGAUGGCUUGUCGUACAUACAUCUAUGGGCCCACCAGAAAGUUUGGAUAGUCCUAAAUACAGGGCUGUACACCAAGACGUAUCUGACAUGGAGGCUAUGGUGCAGGACAGUGUAGUCUACGUGGCAAGACAGGAACUAGUCGAGAAUUAGGAAAAGUACUCGUAGCAAUUAGAGUAGGACUCGCCUAGUCGGUCGAAUCCGACUAGUAUUCUUGUAAAUUAACCGACAUGUAACCAUGCCCCCGGCAAUAUAAGGUGAGUCAGGGACCCUCUCCAAAGCAAUUCAAUCCAACCGACACAUAGGACGUAGGGUAUUACGCAAUCUAGCAGCCCGAACGUGUCUAAAUCGUGUGUUUGUGUUCACCUUUGAGUUCCUGAUCUCGGCGAGCCCCAUUAACCAAAAUACUACCUCGGGCACCCCUGGUACGUUGCAAACACCGACAGACUAUGCAUAUGUUGUAAUUCUGAGCAUGGAUAGCGAAGCAACACAUGUAUGAUCUUAGUAAAAAAAACAUCUUUAAAUCUACACCUCCGGUUCGGAUCUCGAAACCCCCCACCUUACACAAGAAAGAUCAUGUCAUGAUCACCUCUAUCAGCGCUAGCAGGUUAAGGAUAUGAUCAUAAGAACAUGUCAUACUCAUCGGUAGAUCGGGCAUGCAAAUCUGGUCAACACGACCACAAGAACACCCUAAGCAAUCUAUCAUCAAUUAAUAACCCGAUAAAGCAUAAAACCAUCAAAGGAGACACUUAGAUUGCUAAGAACAUGAAUACAUUUAUUACUUCACCAUGAAUUAUUGAGGGAUAAGGGUACCCAUGGUCCCCAUCGAUAAGGAUACUGGUUAGCAUGUCAGUGGGCCUGCCCGACCAUAUUGUGGUUGGAAUGUCAGUGGGCCUGCCCGACCAUACCAUGCGGGUCAAGGUAUGAAGACACGUGGAGCACAAGCCAGGAGGCCGAGCGAAUUAAUUCAGCCCGGAUAUCACGAGAUACUUGUUGUAAACCAACUCAGAUUGCCUACUAGAAUUAGAUCCUGUCUGAUUGUAACCCUAGGUCGUCAGCCUAUAAGAUGGUCAAGGGUGCCCCCCAAAGGUGACGGAUCCCACCUCAACUUCUCGCAUCCCAUACCAGUAAUACAAUCUACCAGGACACAUAACAUAGGGUAUUACUCUCCGAAAGUCCGAACCUGUUGAAAUUUGAAAACUAUGUUGUGAUACCUAAGUAGUGAACCAAACAGCUAUAACGUUGUUCAUUACUAUUACCGCAUCAAACCAAACAAAGGACGUAAUCAGUGAUUCCACCAAACAAAGGACGUAAUCAGCGAUUCCAAAAGAAAACCCCCCCUUAAACGCUACGUUAGCCGUGCAAUUAACACUGACAUGUGGGCCCAUAUGUGGCUGGAAAUUGCACGUGUAAGUGAACAUGUUUCGUACUCUCGUCCAGAAAGCAGUAGAGCAAACAUGCACAUACACACUUGUUUUCCUUGAACAGAUGUCAGACAAAAUUUCGAAUUGCAUCGACAAAUUAAGCUAGGUGCACCACAACAGUAGCCUACAAGACAUGAACUCGUGAACACAACCAAUAGUUAACAAAAUAGCAGAAGACUUCCCUCUUCACAAUAAGACGGGAUGGUAGCAAGCCCAUCAACACAAGAAAAGAGAACGGAGGGUCUACAUGUAUCAGACCACGCUACGAUGCUCCUAUGGAACAAGCCUGUUGUCCACCCACACACAGCCUGAUUAGAAACCUCGCUGCGGUCGCUCCUCUGCAACAUUCACUCGCAGGGCACGGCCAUCCAAGCUCUGUACAAUUACAGGAUGAGAAGUCAUAUUUUUGGGGGUAACAAAAGCUUUAAUUUGGCUGUGGAAUAUAGAAGAGGUAGAAGAUAGAAUCACUCCACGGUACAGCCAAAUUUGCUUCAUUCAAGUACUACUGUUAUGCAAAUGGCAGGGAAUCAACACUGACCUGUCCGUCAAGGGCAGCAAUAGCAUCAUCCAAUUCCUCCUGUGUUGCCAUAGUUACAAAACCGAAUCCCCGGGAACGCCCAGUUUCUCGGUCAUAGACAACUCGGGCGUCAACUACUUUACCAUGCUCGCUGAACAACUGCACCAAUUUAGAGUCAUCCACUUGCCAUGGCAGGUUGCCCACAUAAAUCCUGAAAGAAGGCCCAAAUUGUCUGGGAGAUCUUUCUCUUUCCACACGAGAGCCUCUAGGAGCUGCUUUAUUUACAGUCAGAAGCCUUCCAUUGACAUCCUGUCCACAUAAACAGGUACUCAGCAACUCAUGUAACUGUACAUUCUUAAAUUGUACUGGGACAUCCACAUCCAUAUAGGAUAGAAUCAUGAAAUUUCGAGAUAUAUAUAUAUAUAUCUGUGUGUGGAAGAUAGCACUCAUGCAUAGCAUAUAGAUGAAGUCAGUAUAAAGUAUUGAAGUUCACUUACAACAAAGCCUUCACUUGAACAGCACACAAACAGGCAUGUAUGUCUAAAAUCAAAGUCCUUACAGGCAUGUGCUAUGGGUUGGCCGUGCAGGAGCUAGAAGAUUAGGAGCACUUCUCCAGCUCCUUCCUUGUUCCAAGCCAUUGCAUGGGACUAUGGGACGGGAGCAAGGAAAAGAUACUUAGGUCCAGCUCAAGUUGAAGCUCCGGUGCCAGAAACAUUGAAAACUAUAUUUUCCAACACUAGUUGAGACAGCAGCAACAUAAGCACAGGGGAAAGGUGGGGAAGUGCUGACUUUGUUACUUGUUCAAUGGCUUGUGGGUCCUACAAGAGGGGCUAGCACAUUGCAUGAAUUUUUAGUACAGAUGAAUUUGCUGGUGUGUCAGUUAGAUCCUCACACACCACUGCUCAUGCCCUAGGAAUGAGAAAAAUAUACCCCUAUGCCCUAGCAAUCUAUUAAUGUUUACAUGAACCAUAUUUAUAUGCAAGCUGCGAACAGCAUUCGAUGCAUAACACAGGUGUGCAAAUUAGUAGUUAACAAUGGUUAAAUGAAUUGUAACUAGCAUAAGCAAACAAGGCUAUUGUAACCAUAACUAAAGUACUAAACCCAGAAUUUAUCAAGAAAAACAGCUCCAUCAAGUCAUCAAAUACACUCACAUAGCGAUGGAACAUCUCCACUGCCUUCUCAGCCUCCUCAACAGUACUCAUGGUGACAAAUCCAAAUCCACGGCUCCGAUCUGUUUCUCUGUUGUAAAUGACCUGCAUAGCAACAAAGUAAGUUUACUUCAGAGCACAUAAGCAAACUCUUUUUUCAAGCCAGGGGGAACAGGAAGUCAGGAACACAUAUAUCCUCGAACGAGCAAACCAUGAAUAUCCUUGAACUAGGAGCAUCAUAAAAAAAUCCAUUAAACGCCUGACCUAACAGAUACAGCUAGGUAGGCACCUCCAUAGUGUGCAGAGGUUGGAUGAGCAACAAGUGUCAAGUGUACAUGUUCAGUGUCUUAGGCUGACAAUUUGUGCUGAAAGCUAAACAAGGCUUAGGGCCAUUUUGCUUAACAGCACAUAACAGGUUUUUAAUCACCUAGCCAAAGAUGCUGUUCUGAUAAGAACCUUUAAUCACAGCAAUAUCUCAACACACAACAAGAACAUCUCAUGAAGCAAUACCACAUUACAACAUACCGGAACCUAAAAUAUCUGAAGGAAUAAGGUCAUAAUUCGGGCAAGUAGGCUAAAGUAGCUGCACGUUUGCAACUCCAAAAGUGCAUUUCGCUACUCUUGCGUAGCGGCAUAAAGACAUUCGCACUACCUGACUAAAAGUGAAGCCGCUCCAGAAUGGAGGCAGCGGAGCCAGUCAGAAGUUUAAAUUGAGGCAAUUUUUAUGCAUGGCGUAUAAAAAUUAAGGAGGCGGAACCGCGGAAGCAACGGCUAGUCUCACCUCCGCGACCUCGACGACGCCGGCCUGCUCGAAGAGCUGCGCGAGGCGCUCGCUGUCGACGUCGUAGGGCAGGUUGCCGACGUAGACCUUGGCCUCCUCUGGCGGCUCGACGUACUCCCCGACCUCCUCCUCCUCGACGGCAGCGUCCUCCUCCUCCUCCCCCGACGCGAACGCCUCCUCCUGCUCCGACUCGGCCCCGUCGGCGGCGGCCGGCUCCGCGUAGUCGACGCCGACGGAGGACUCGAAGGAGUCGGAGGCGGCGAGUGGGGCGAGCGGUAGGCGGCGGGCGGAGCGGAGGCGGAGCAGGCGCGGGGGCGUCGGGGCGAGGAGGACGAGGAAGGGGGAGGUGGGGGUGGUGGGCUUCGUGAGGGAGGCGGAGGUGCUGGCGGAAGCGAGGGCGCGGAGGGACGCCGCGACGGAGGAGGCCAUGGUGGCGCCGCGGGCGAGGGGAGGGCAGAGGGGAAUGGGAGGAGGAGGGGAAGGGGAUAAGAGAGGGAGGGAGGAGCGACAGCGAGCGGGGAGGGGAUUUUGGGGGUGGGGCGCCAGGACCAGGAGGUCCAGGAGUCGGCAGGGCAGCGCACGAGGAGGAAGAGGGACGAGCCGAUAUUUUCCGCUCGUUUUCGUAUGGGCCGGGCCGCGGACGGGGUGUUCUACAUGGGCUGGGCCGUGUAUUUUGCUACUCGCAUUUUUAGUCCAAGGUCAGCCAGUUUCCCAAAUGGCUAUCAAAAGAAAAAAAAAACAAAGUUCCCGAAAUGGUUGUUAGUAUUUGCCACAUCUGAUACAAAUCACAUCACAUCGGGGAAAAAAUGGAGGAGGAGAAAACAUUUGCAUAUUCCAGGUAAUCAUAAAACCGUCGAUCCAAGGUAAUUCUGAUGUGAGACCUAAGGUUAACCUAAUGUCGACUAUCAAACUGACUGAACUCUAGGUGGUACUUCCUCCGUCCUAAAUUAUAGGUCGUUUUGUCUUAUCUAGAUGCAUAGAUGUUUGUAUAAUAUAUACAUCUAUGCACCUAGAAAAGCUAAAAUGACCCACAAUUUGAAAUGGAGGGACUAGCAAGCUUCAGAGUUCAGGCUGCACAUCAUCUGCCGUUCCAUUCCCCAUCCAUUUGCGCUUCACCUGCGUGCAUCAAAAACAAGGCUUCGUUAGUUAUGAAAUACUCAUGCCCACCUAGCUAGGUCCAGAUACUUUUCGGUGUGGUUGAUGCAAUUCAGAUCCUUUUCCCCCCUCGUUUAGCGGUGUAGCAGUGCCACGAAAGAGAAAUGUCAAAUGUGUGAGCGUAGUGAAAGUUUGCAAAUAAAACACGAGUGUGUUGGUCCGCUGAACGGCACCCAAACACUAUGAGGUGCAUAUGCCCACUAGCCAAGGAGGCAAAUUCUGAAAUUCUACUCCCCCAUUUUUCUGAGAGGUAACUACAUUGAGAUCAGCAAGACAGAUUAUGGCUCCAGUAUCUGUAAAUCUUUUGUUUGAAGUGAUCAGAUCAGAAACCUACCUGCACUAGCAGAACCGUCUCAGCAAGGUGGGGGAAGAGGAGUCCCCGGAGGCGCACUUGCAGCCUGCUCACUGCAGAUCAUGCCAUUGCGAAACAAUCAAAACUCUAGAACAACAGAGACAUACUAUACAUCUAAAUGCAUUUGAACCAACACCUUCAGUUCCUCUGACACAUACCGGAUCCACUUGUCGAUUAUCGCGCUGUACUGGGCUGGUAUCUUCCUCAGAGCUUCCAGAGCAAACUGAUCCUCCUUCUCGGCUUGCGACAUUUCCCUUGACAUUAUUUCGGUGAAAUCCACAAACUGCAAGGAAUACCAAAAGCAGAAAUAGAAAAAAAAAUCAAAUCAAGCACAUGAGAGAGAAAGAAACGAAAUCCUCUAUUUGAGAAUAGUGUACAUGUAACUAUCAUGUACCUGGAAAUUGUCAAACAAACGCCGGUUAUCGUGGCGGUGAAUACGAUCAUCCCAUGGCACAUCACCAACUCCAACGAGGACAAUAGACAAAGGGAAAUGACUGCAAUAAAAAAACCAUAUAACAACUCUAUAUCUACGUAUGGAUCUUUGCAAGUAGAUUGAGCUUUCUCGACAAGGAGAAUUAGGUGACUUAAAAAAAACUUUAGUUGACUAUAUUAGGUGACAGUUACCUGGCAUGUAUGAGAGCCUGAAGAGUCCUUUCUUCAAGGAUGUUCACAGAUCUUGUCUCAUCCGGAUACCUUGCUGAAUGAGCACCAGUAAUCAUCGGAACCUGGGGCAAAAUGAGCAAAUACAAGCAUAAAAAUUUGUCAGUAAAGCAGUGGUAAGUCAUCCGAAACUAGAGAAGGACAACUUCAUUUAUGUCAGAUUAAACAAGGCCGUGGCGAAAUGGAAAGCGCCUUAUCUAUUUGAAGAACAUCUGCAAUGCACAGUGAUCACACUUUUCAUACUUUGUUUAGUUAAUCACCGCAAGAGCAUAAAUCUUGAUAUUUCUCAUCUCUAAAAAAAACAGAAAGGACCAUACAUGCCAAGAAAGCUCAAAUCUGACUGCCAUAUGAAACAAUCGACGAGAUUUUAAUUAGGGCAUUUACACAGAAAAUGGCAUGCAUACCUGCCCAUCAGCUAUGAUCAGUAGAAUGUGGUACUGGUGCCUAGAAACUUCAACAAUUCUCGUUGCCGUUUCUAUGAUCGGAACUAGAGAUGUCGGCCCUAAACCAGAACCCACCGGCCGGUCAGUGAGUGUGAUGGGGGGACAAACGGAAUGACUGAAAGAUGCAUUGUACCAGAAAGCCGAACGUGAGGAGCGAUCUCUCUGUAUCGCUGCAGUGCUUCUGAAACACCAGUGCACGCCCGGCCAUCUCUGUGGAAGUUGAAGACGUUUCGAUCAUGCGUCGUUGCUGAAACAGACGUGGAAGCAAAAUGAGAACACCAUAUCUCUCCUCUCUGGUUUGUUAUAUGCAAAGGAACGAAGAAUCAGAGGUCUUACUGUCCCCAAAGCCGAAGCAUGGGAUCUUGUUGUCUUCAUCGUAUGCUGACAGCGUCCUCCCAAUAAUGCCGAUCGCCUGCUCGUACGGGUUUGGAGCGUUCCCGAGGUGAUGCAGGCUUCUCCCGUUGAAACAAUGCUUCCCUUAAAUUACACAAUCGAUACUUCAGUCAGUUGUCAUGCACAAUGACUGGGAAAAGGGAGGGAAAAAAACAAGGUGAUCUAUGGUAAGAAAGAAAAGAAAAGAAAAGAAAAUAACUGAUAGUGUCAACCUGUCCAUUCGUUGCUCCUGGUGAAAUCCACCCCGAUUACAAGGUUAGAUGACUCGAGCCCAACCUUUUGGAGUUUCUCCUUCACCUGGAUGGGGAGAGAGAGAUACCCAACCCAAAACAACACUGGCAGCGUCAGGAGGUACUCAAGGGUUAGGUAAGUUCUUGGCUUCAUGCAUCUGUAAUUCUCACGCCGGGGGUAAUCGGUAAUGAAAUGGAGUGAAAGUGAGCAUGUAGCUGACCUGAUCCAAGGUGCUGCAGUUCUGGUCUGUUCCUGCCGAUCCAUGGCUUUCAGCGGUGACUCUCUUGAGACGAAGGGACCAGGUGAAGCAGAACAGCAGAAACAAAGUGGAGAAGAUCAUCUCCGGGCUACAAAGGCUCUAACGCUCUCAAAAGCAAGCAAGAAAUGGCAGUGAAAUCGAUCAGGAGCUGGAAACAAGCAGGCUUGGGCGCAGUCGCACUCAUCAGCACCUGGAGCCUUUUUAUAGUUUUGGGGAUGAGACGCAGCAAGGUGAAUGCGAUUGGCCGAGAGAACGAAACUGCAAGGCAACGACCCAGCAGGACUUAGAGAGGCCGCGACGCGAUGGCAACGACGCGCAAAGGAUGUCGAUGGACACGCUGAAACGAGCAGCCUACGGUGUGGUGCUCUGCUGUGGUGGUGCGAGUGGUUGGUUGCCAUGCAAUUCUUUAGGGUAUUACUACGUUAUUAAACUUUUACACCGACGAGGUCGCUCUUAAUUUUUGCAUAAGAGAUGGAUGCGUCAUGUCCAACUUUCGUCGUGUACGAAUAAAGGAAACACGGCGGGGAAAGGAAGAUUGGGAUUCGUUUAUACCUGGAAGAAAAGAGCAAAAGGCCGGCUUGUUGCUAGCCUGUUGGAAUUUGCUCUCUUUCUUUGCUGGUUUUCAAAAUCUUGUCCUCAGAGGAACCGCAGCUCAAGCACUGAAACUCUGGCGCCCUUGGGAUAAUCUGGAUGAUGGUUCAGGAUCAGUGUAUAUCGAUAUUCUCUUUGCAGAAACGCGCUAGAUAAUUCCAAGAACAACCAUUACCUGGAGGUUGAAAAGGCACUCCGCGUGCAGUGAGACGGCACACGACUUGAUAUAGCUGUUGACCAGGAGUGGCAUCUUAUUCGAGUCAUUCCAAUGCCGCAUCCAAUAGCAGUAGGCCAGCAACACAGAUAUAUCAAUUUUGCAGCUUCACACUGCUGUUUAUUCCCACGAUAGCUUCUCAAAUAUGAGUAUUCAACAUCUUUAUUUGUACACUGGAAACUUGUAGACUUCCCCUUUACAGUGUCAUGUACCUAAUCUAAAGCAGCAUAAACGGUUUCUCGUAAUGAAGACCAACUGGUGUUCGUUUUCAUCUUAAAAUGGAACAAUCUUGUCAAAGAAUGGAAAUCUCAGCAUCUUCACUAUAUCAACUUUUACAAUUACACGGAGCCAUCCAACACUCUCGUCAGUUUUCCACUAAACAUGCAUCAACAAAUUGGGAAAACAUCUACACAAGAACGCAAAUCAAAACAAAAUUUACCGUUCCCCUUCUCUAAAUGAAGGAGCAGGAGCCGUAUAUGUAAACUGUAUAGACAUGGCACAACUAUAUUAUUAGGGGUUCAGAUAGCUCCAUCUCAUUGGAUGUCUGCUCCGUCUCCGCAGGAGGUAACCGCACAUAGUUCAGUCCCAACCAUUGCCAUGGCCAGCACAUGUAUCUAUGGCCAUUGCGGUUAACAGAAUCGGUUCUAUUAUCUGAUUCUUCAAGCUGCCUGUUAAGCUCCUCCAGCCUCUCUCGAAGCCUGGAUGAUCGCAAAUCCGCUAGUUUUAGAGACUUCUCUGCAGCAUCGCGUGCUGCCAUCGCUGCGGCUGCUGUCUCUUCCUUGAACUUCAGCUUGUUUUCAAGCUCCACCAUAGCUUGCUUUGCCUCAUCUAAUUCCUUUCUAAGGGAUGAGAUCUGCGUGACAAAGCAAAUCCCAUCAGAUUGAACUCAGCUAAUCAAAAGUUUAAAAAAAGGAUGGUUGAAACUGAUGUUUCAUCAUCAUAAACAAACCAUCCAUUCCCUUGCAUCAGUUAAUCUAUGUAUGUUCGCUUAAACGCAAGUCCAAACGCCAUGGCACUAUAUCUACAAAGGCUCUAUAAUGCUCCAUUGCAGAUUGCUGUAUGCUCCACACAGUCAUCAUGGCACUGUGCCGGCUAUUGGUUCAGCCGCAUCUUCUGCCACCACUAGUUGCCCAAGGCCUUCCUUGCAUUACACAUCGAUAGGUGAAAUUUGUCUAUCUACGAUGGGAUAACUGCAGAAGGCAUCUAACUUGUUUCUAAACUGAAAUUAUUUAGAUGAUUAUUAAGCUAACAGGACCAUAUCUAGGAAGGAAUGCACUUAAGAAUACUAGAAUGAUAAUCAUUAAGUAUGGACAUGCAAUUUGUAACAAAAAUAGCAGCAACAAAACAUACUCCCUCCGGUUUUUAACAUAUGAAGGGCCCCUCCCCUGUUUUCAAUAAGAUAUGUAUGCCAAAUCAUAUAGUACUGCAGGCUUAUGCUUGUCUCACUUAUUAGUACCCAUAAUAUGUAUGUUUUGGAUAAUUGUAACAUGUAGCAGAGGAAAAUCUGCUGAAUAUCCUUUUUACGGGGAAAAAAUCGGUUAAAUGUUAUUCUCACGGAUGCUACUCUAGGUGUUGCAGGCAGUUCACUUUAGAUAUAUUAAACAUAUAAGUUGCAAAACCAAUCACGGUAGUUUGAUUGCGCAUGGGACAAACUCACUGUACUAGAAGUUACUCCAAAAGAAAUCUUUCUAGUCAGAUAACUAUGACGCAAAGGUGACAAACAUGAUAGACCCAUCAGCUUUUAUGAGCAACCCCAACCCCUCAAGAAAACACAAACAAGACACCGAAAGCAUAGAGACCAAACAGAACUAUAUGGAAUAUGUUUGUAUUAAAGCACCUGAAUCUGGAACUCUUGCUCAAUUGAUCUACCAGCUUCAGCUUCCUCCUCUGCUGCCAUCUUCCAUCUUUUAAUCUCCUCUUCAGCAGCUGUCACAUCCAUCAUCAGACCCUCAACCUGAACAGAGUGCAUAGAAUGUGAUUACCCAUUGAUAAUAACCUUAAAGAGAAAUAAGUAGUGUACUUGAAACAUCAAAUUAUACAUGGGGAAGAAAAUUACACUUUCAUUUGCCACCCUUUCCUUCUCUUCAAGAUGCUUUAUUUGCUUUCUUAGCUGGACAAUCUCUUUUUCCUGCCCUUCCAGCCUUGUUCUUAGUAGACCAGACUCCGCCCUUAAAGCCAGCAAUUGCAUAGAUGAUAAGAAGCGGGAAGCAAUUUACAAUGGUUCAAAGCAUCCACAAUAGGAUAUAGCAACGCAGCAAUAUCCAAAUGUCUUUUUGUUGCAAGGAAGUUCAAUAAGCAUGUCUUAAAAACCAUAUGUUCAGUUUACACGAAACCUAAGCCAAAUGAUAUUCUAAGUUCAUUAAAGUCACUCUAAGUUCAACAGGCAGAGAAAACAAGGACUAGAUGUACAAUAAAUUGAAACAGGGGAUUUCUCUACCCCUAGAGGCUAGAACUGGGUGUGAGCAAUCUUGGCCAUGGAAAUGAACUAAAUAGAACCAAAGCUCAUCUGUAACCAGCUCGCAAAACUAAAAAACAUUCAUCAGUCACAAUAGCUACCUUAGUGCUUCGAUGAGAUGUUGGAGCUCAAUGAUCUUAACUUGGGACUCCUUCAUGGUAUUCUCUAGUGCCCCUGCCUGCAAUGUUGAUUGCAUAACUAACAAUUUAGCGCACUAUGCAUGCUGAAGAACUUGCAAUAACAUGGAUGGUAGCAUCAAAUUGGCCAUACCAGGGUAUAGACCUCGUCCUUCUCCACACUCCCUGGCCUGUGCUCCUUCCGCUCGUCGAGUCCAAUCUCAAUGCCGGCCUCCCUCAGUCCAUCCUCUGCAACCUUUAACACCUCGCUCGUAGUCGCCUGCAGUGCACUCCUGAGCAGCACCCCAAUGUGCUCCUUCUCUUUGAUCAGUUCAUCCACCCUGUCCUCCAAACCCCUCAGCUUGCUCUCCUUGUCAUCGAUGCAUGCCCCAACCUUCUCCAGGGCCAUUGCCGCAAGCUCAUAGGCCAAUUUCGUCCCUUCCAGGGACACCUUGAGGCUUUCCUCAACGUCUGUCUCCUUCCAGACAAAAACCGAGUCUGACAGCGUGCUGGCAGCAUCAGCAUCGACCAGCUUGACCACCUCCCGCAUUUCAUCGUACAGCUUGGAGGCGCAGCCGAUCUGCUCGGCGAGCACGGGCCUCUGCGCGUCAAGCUUUACCUCGAGAGAUGCGAUUUUGUCACGGAGCUCGGAGAUCUCGGCUUCCCGCUGCGAGAGGGACUUGGAGAGGGAUUCGCAAUCGGCGGACCUGGACGCGACCGAUGCCUCGAGCUCGGAGACCUCGAUGGCGAUCUGGUAGUUGCGGUGUUCCAUCUGCUCCCGCGCGCGGUCGCGGUCCCGGUUGGCGGCGUCGAUCUGGGCUAGGAGAUCGUCGACGAUGUCGUUGGCGCGCUUGAGGACGCCGUACGCGAGGGCGGGGAGGCCGGAGGAGUACUUCUGGGAGGUCGGGAGCGGGGCGGGGGCCGAGGAAGGGGAGGCCUUGGCGGAGAUCCUCUCGAAGCCGGAGGAGAGCAUGGAGGAGGCGGUGGAGGCCUCGGCCUGGAGCGCGGCGAGGGAGCGGGCGGAGGCGGCGGACUCGGCCUGGAGCGCGGCAAGGGAGCGCGCCGAGGCGGUGGACUCGGCCUGGAGCGCGGCGAGGGAGCGCGCGGAGGCGGCGGCCUCGGUGGUAAGGUCGUCGCGCUUGCGGAGCACGUCCUGCGCGAAGGCCUUGAGGCGGGCGAAACGGUUCUCGGCCUCCGCUAGGGAGCCCUCAGCGGCGCGGCGGAGGCGGCGCUCCUCCUCGAGCUCCGCGGCCAGGUCCAGCAGCCGCUGCUGCGCCUGGGCAUCGGGCUGGGGCUGGGCCUGUGGUAGGGUUUUGUGGGCGGAGGCGGAGGCGGAGGAGGGAGGCGGGAGGGGGUCCUCGUCGACGUCGGAGAGGACGGCGGCGUCGUCGUCGUCGGCCAUGGCGUCGGGAAUUGGCCGGCCUGGACGGCGGCGGUGGUGGUGGUGGGUUUGUGUCGUCGCGUCGCGUGGAC
Molecule: long non-coding RNA, 37226 nt
Filed under: Setaria italica (foxtail millet)
Lineage: Eukaryota; Viridiplantae; Streptophyta; Magnoliopsida; Poales; Poaceae
Description: long non-coding RNA (SITA_LNC001116)
Source: RNAcentral